UCUCUGCCAGAGUAGCUUUGGUACCUCUUGCUUUUGCUUUCAAGCCCCUGAAACCUGUUGCCUGUCUGCUCUCUGCCUCAGUGCUACGAUUCUUUUGGACUUGCCAAAUACCUUCUGAGACAAGACUUGUUGCAUCUACAUACUGGCUUCACUUCAGAGAAAUUUCUCCAAACAUUCAUUGUGAGAUGCAAGAUGAGGGAAGUAAGCGUCAGCAGCUCUUGGUCGUAAAACUCCUUUUGGUCACUCUCCCAGAGUGCACUGGGAGGGGAGAGGACAGAGAAUCUCUGUGUCACCUCGCCAUGGCACGGGAUGUGAGGAGAUCGCUGGGAAUGCCAAUAAUUGCUCGAACCGAGGACGAGCUGCUGCCUGCUCUCCAUGCAACAGAACCACCUGAAUAUCAGUUUAAAAAGAAAUUAUGGCAAAAUAAAGCAAUGAUGUAUAUAAAGAU
Centropristis striata (black sea bass) is the source of this 448-nucleotide long non-coding RNA. RefSeq lists it as uncharacterized. Lineage: Eukaryota; Metazoa; Chordata; Actinopteri; Perciformes; Serranidae. The transcript has 3 exons. The record is from RefSeq and is a predicted model, not a curated record.